Molecule: ribosomal RNA, 853 nt
Filed under: Dothiorella plurivora
Lineage: Eukaryota; Fungi; Ascomycota; Dothideomycetes; Botryosphaeriales; Botryosphaeriaceae
Description: eukaryotic LSU rRNA
Rfam family: Eukaryotic large subunit ribosomal RNA
Source: RNAcentral
UGGGAUUGCCUUAGUAACGGCGAGUGAAGCGGCAAUAGCUCAAAUUUGAAAGCUGGCCCCUUUGGGGUCCGCGUUGUAAUUUGUAGAGGAUGAUUCGGCGAGGGCUCCCGUCUAAGUCCCCUGGAACGGGGCGUCAUAGAGGGUGAGAAUCCCGUAUGUGAUGGGUUGCCUUAGCCAUGUGAAUCUCCUUCGACGAGUCGAGUUGUUUGGGAAUGCAGCUCUAAAUGGGAGGUAAAUUUCUUCUAAAGCUAAAUACCGGCCAGAGACCGAUAGCGCACAAGUAGAGUGAUCGAAAGAUGAAAAGCACUUUGGAAAGAGAGUUAAAAAGUACGUGAAAUUGUUGAAAGGGAAGCGCUUGCAGCCAGACUUGUCCGCAGUUGCUCAGCCGGUCUCCUGACCGGCGUACUCUUCUGCGGCCAGGCCAGCAUCAGUUCGGGCGGUCGGAUAAAGACCCCAGGAAUGUAGCUCCUCUCGGGGAGUGUUAUAGCCUGGGGUGGAAUGCGGCCAGCCUGGACUGAGGAUCUCGCUUCGGCUAGGAUGCUGGCGUAAUGGCUGUAAGCGGCCCGUCUUGAAACACGGACCAAGGAGUCUAACAUCUAUGCGAGUGUUUGGGUGUCAAACCCAUACGCGUAAUGAAAGUGAACGGAGGUGGGAACCCUCACGGGUGCACCAUCGACCGAUCCUGAUGUCUUCGGAUGGAUUUGAGUAAGAGCAUAGCUGUUGGGACCCGAAAGAUGGUGAACUAUGCCUGAAUAGGGUGAAGCCAGAGGAAACUCUGGUGGAGGCUCGCAGCGGUUCUGACGUGCAAAUCGAUCGUCAAAUUUGGGUAUAGGGGCGAAAGACUAAUCGAACC